Molecule: ribosomal RNA, 260 nt
Filed under: uncultured bacterium
Lineage: Bacteria
Description: partial 16S ribosomal RNA
Rfam family: Bacterial small subunit ribosomal RNA
Source: RNAcentral
GUCCACGCCCUAACGAUGUCAACUAGUUGUUGGUAGGGUAAACCUAUUAGUAACGAAGCUAACGCGUGAAGUUGACCGCCUGGGAGUACGGCCGCAAGGUUAACUCAAAGGAAUUGACGGGGACCCGCACAAGCGGUGGAUGAUGUGGAUUAAUUCGACGCAACGCGAAACCUUUACCUACCCUUGACAUGUCAGGAAUCUUGGAGAGAUUUGAGAGUGCCCGCAAGGGAACCUGAACACAGGUGCUGCAUGGCUGUCGU